AUUGAACGCUGGCGGAAUGCCUUACACAUGCAAGUCGAACGGCAGCACGGGGCAACCUGGUGGCGAGUGGCGAACGGGUGAGUAAUGCAUCGGAACGUGCCAUUGAGUGGGGAUAACGUAGCGAAAGUUGCGCUAAUACCGCAUAUUCUGUGAGCAGGAAAGCAGGGGACCGCAAGGCCUUGCGCUCUUUGAGCGGCCGAUGUCAGAUUAGCUAGUUGGUGAGGUAACGGCUUACCAAGGCGACGAUCUGUAGCGGGUCUGAGAGGAUGAUCCGCCACACUGGAACUGAGACACGGUCCAGACUCCUACGGGAGGCAGCAGUGGGGAAUUUUGGACAAUGGGCGCAAGCCUGAUCCAGCCAUGCCGCGUGAGUGAAGAAGGCCUUCGGUU
This 390-nucleotide ribosomal RNA is filed under the name uncultured bacterium. RNAcentral's name for it is "bacterial SSU rRNA". It matches the Rfam family "Bacterial small subunit ribosomal RNA", at positions 30 to 423 of the family's 1533-position model. The record is from RNAcentral.